GUGGGGAAUAUUGGGCAAUGGGGGAAACCCUGACCCAGCAACGCCGCGUGAAGGAAGAAGGCCUUCGGGUUGUAAACUUCUUUUACCAGGGACGAAGGACGUGACGGUACCUGGAGAAAAAGCAACGGCUAACUACGUGCCAGCAGCCGCGGUAAUACGUAGGUUGCAAGCGUUGUCCGGAUUUACUGGGUGUAAAGGGCGUGUAGGCGGAGAUGCAAGUUGGGAGUGAAAUCCCGGGGCUCAACCCCGGAACUGCUUUCAAAACUGUAUCCCUUGAGUAUCGGAGAGGCAAGCGGAAUUCCUAGUGUAGCGGUGAAAUGCGUAGAUAUUAGGAGGAACACCAGUGGCGAAGGCGGCUUGCUGGACGACAACUGACGCUGAGGCGCGAAAGCGUGGGGAGCAAACAGGAUUAGAAACCCUAGUAGUCCG
Molecule: ribosomal RNA, 429 nt
Filed under: uncultured bacterium
Lineage: Bacteria
Description: bacterial SSU rRNA
Rfam family: Bacterial small subunit ribosomal RNA
Source: RNAcentral